Molecule: ribosomal RNA, 505 nt
Filed under: uncultured bacterium
Lineage: Bacteria
Description: partial 16S ribosomal RNA
Rfam family: Bacterial small subunit ribosomal RNA
Source: RNAcentral
GACGAACGCUGGCGGCGUGCCUAAUACAUGCAAGUAGAACGCACAGUUUAUACCGUAGCUUGCUACACCAUAGACUGUGAGUUGCGAACGGGUGAGUAACGCGUAGGUAACCUGCCUGGUAGCGGGGGAUAACUAUUGGAAACGAUAGCUAAUACCGCAUAAUAUUAAUUAUUGCAUGAUAAUUAAUUGAAAGGUGCAAUUGCACCACUACCAGAUGGACCUGCGUUGUAUUAGCUAGUAGGUGGGGUAACGGCUCACCUAGGCGACGAUACAUAGCCGACCUGAGAGGGUGAUCGGCCACACUGGGACUGAGACACGGCCCAGACUCCUACGGGAGGCAGCAGUAGGGAAUCUUCGGCAAUGGACGAAAGUCUGACCGAGCAACGCCGCGGGAGUGAAGAAGGUUGUCGGAUCGUAAAGCUCUGUUGUAAGAGAAGAACGGGUGUGAGAGUGGAAAGUUCACACUGUGACGGUAGCUUACCAGAAAGGGACGGCUAACUACGUG